Strongylocentrotus purpuratus (purple sea urchin) is the source of this 648-nucleotide long non-coding RNA. RefSeq lists it as uncharacterized. The record is from RefSeq and is a predicted model, not a curated record. NCBI's taxonomy places the organism in Eukaryota, Metazoa, Echinodermata, Echinoidea, Camarodonta, Strongylocentrotidae. The transcript is spliced from 3 exons.
CAAAUUACCCAGGUCAUCUCGAAAAUGUAUUUGUCGGAAUUUUUCUUUCAUUCUAAAAAUGUUGAAAGUGAGGAGCUAAUAUUGCUUUGCCACCUUUACUAAAUGAAAAUCAUACUCUUAUUCACCAGUUCCAAUCUGCAGUUGUGACUUUGACUUAGACCUGUGCACCUUUACCCAAGCUACUACCGAUGAUAUUGAUUGGACGAGGCGGGCAGGUAACACGCCAUCUACGUAUACCGGCCCGGAAAAUGAUCAUACAAUUGGCACAGCGGCUGGAUUCUAUAUCUACACAGAAGCAUCGUCAUUUUCCAACAAAGUUGCCGUACUGGAGUCGGAACUCAUUCUUGCGUCGUCUAGGCGAUUGUGCGCCGAUUUUUGGUACCACAUGUGGGGAGCUGGCAUUGGUACACUCAAUAUCUAUGCCAAGACCGGGACCACGCUGGGCCAGGUCCUAUGGACCCAAAGUGGGGCUCUGUCCAGGAACUGGUUUGAGGCCCAGAUUGAUUUCAUCCCUACUGCCGAUUUUAAGUUCGUAUUUGAGGGCGUUACUGGUGCGAAUUACAAUAGUGACAUCGCUCUCGAUGACAUCUAUAUUACAACAGGAGCAUGCAGAGGUAUAUAUCUAAUAUUAUUAUUGUUGUUGGUGUU